RNAcentral lists this non-coding RNA (18 nucleotides) under Arabidopsis thaliana (thale cress). The record is from RNAcentral. Lineage: Eukaryota; Viridiplantae; Streptophyta; Magnoliopsida; Brassicales; Brassicaceae.
UAAACGAUGCCGACCAGG